Molecule: long non-coding RNA, 554 nt
Filed under: Heterocephalus glaber (naked mole-rat)
Lineage: Eukaryota; Metazoa; Chordata; Mammalia; Rodentia; Bathyergidae
Description: lncRNA (ENSHGLG00000037456.1)
Source: RNAcentral
AUUUCUGAGUGCCUCCCCUACAGCCACCUCCUAUGUGGCCAUGUUCCUGAAGCGCUGGCUUGAGGAGCUCCUCUCAGAGCUGACCCUGACUCGUGAAGGCUCUGGAGCUUGAGCAACAGCUGCUACCACCCCUCCAAGGCCCUCCACCCUGGCUGCCUUGCUCGGUCAGGAAGAGGCCUGAUCUGUGGCUGCUGGGGACGAACUGAGGACUGUAUUUAUGUUCCAGAAGCAGCGGGCAGCCACCCUGCCACUCCUCAGCACCCCAGCCCUGCCAAGCUCCCGGCAGCACAUCGUGCCCUGGCUGUCCACCUCUGACAGCCUCUCCUGCUGAGCCCUGGAGGCUUGAGGACCACACAAGGCAUCAGGCCUGCCCUGGAAUCCUUCUCCCCCAUCAGCACAUCAGCCACGAGCAGGAUCACCUACAUAAUUUGAGGGACCCUUUGGCACUGAUGUGGAAAAAUGUCACAACAGGUUCUUUUGUGGGAAAGAAUAUGAGACCAGAAUGAGGAAGUCCCAAUGCAUUGUGGAGUGAUGUGGCUCCCUGGAAACAAAAG